CCUACGGGAGGCUGCAGUGGGGAAUAUUGCACAAUGGGGGGAACCCUGAUGCAGCAACGCCGCGUGAGUGAAGAAGUAUUUCGGUAUGUAAAGCUCUAUCAGCAGGGAAGAAGAUGACGGUACCUGAGUAAGAAGCCCCGGCUAACUACGUGCCAGCAGCCACGGUAAUACGUCGGGGCCAAGCGUUAGCCGGAGUUCCUGGGUGGAAAGGGAGCGGAGACGGCGAGGCAAGACGGGGGUGAAAGCCCCGGGCUCAACCCCGGGACUGCUUUGGACACUGGCUGGCUGGAGUGCUGGAGAGGCAAGCGGAAUUCCUAGUGUAGCGGUGAAAGGCGUAGAUAUUAGGAAGAACACCAGUGGCGAAGGCGGCUUGCUGGACAGUAACUGACGUUGAGGCUCGAAAGCGUGGGGAGCAAACAGGAUUAGAUACCCGAGUAGUC
Molecule: ribosomal RNA, 440 nt
Filed under: uncultured bacterium
Lineage: Bacteria
Description: partial 16S ribosomal RNA
Rfam family: Bacterial small subunit ribosomal RNA
Source: RNAcentral